This is a long non-coding RNA of Gallus gallus (chicken), 2900 nucleotides long. The record is from Ensembl. Lineage: Eukaryota; Metazoa; Chordata; Aves; Galliformes; Phasianidae.
CGGCGGCCGGCCCGCUUCGGACGGGGCUGCCUUGUGGCGGGGGGGGUUUCCCCGCGGGGAGAUGGCGCUGCGCUGCCAGUGACAAACGCGCAGGCUGCUCCGCGGUGAGACCUGCGGGCUGCCGAGUUCCAGCGCCCGAGGGAAGAAUAGUUGCUCUGUAGCUGCUGUGCUGCAGGCGGGAGGAUGACAGCGGCUUGUGAGAGCACGUCCAGGGACGGAGCUUGCGGCUGCGUAGCGCCCGGGUAGAGCCUAGUGCUGGCCGCAGGGCCGCACUGCCCCGACGGUGCAGCCUUGCAGCCCGGGGCCGGUCUGCGUUUGCUCAUGGCAGAGCUGGAGCUGUAGGUCACGGAGGUGGGUGCUGAGAAGCUGAUGUGAGAGCCACUUGCUUCCCAGGUGUCCAGCUAGCUGAAUGCCAGCUGGUUGAGGCACGCCAGGCACGCUUCUGGGUCGUAGAAUGACUGAAUCACAGGAUGGUCUGGUUUGAAAAAGACCUCACGGAUUACACGGUUCCGACCCCCUGCUGUGUGCAGGAUUGCCAACCAGCAGACCAGGCUGCCCAGAGCCACAUCCAACCUGGCAUGGGUCAUACCUUUGGUUUAGUUUCAUCUGAAGGGAUUCGGCUUGUGCAUGCCAAGGCCUCUGGAUAAACUCCUUUGCUGUGAGGGUGGGUGGCCAAAUGCUGAAGGGGCUCCCAGCAAAGUGGAUGGUGCCCCAUGGGUGCUCAGGAGGCCUCUGGGCAAUGCCCUCCUCAACGUGCUCCAACUCCUCCUGGCCUUGACGUGGUUGGGCAGUUGGGCUCAGCCUUUGUAGAUCCCUUCCGAGUGAACUACGCUGAUAGCCCGGCUCAAGCAAGGGAAUAAUAUGUAAGAUGGGUUAUGAUUUCCUUGUUUUUCUGCCUCAGUUGCUCACAGCCAUCGUGAAGAUUUGCCACACUUCUUGCUCAAGCAUGGAGUACAGUCUGCUGAGAGCCACGCUGAACUCCUGGUGGAUUUGCACAGAUGGCACGAGGCUGCUGUGACGGUGAAGAUGGAUCGUCCAUUGAAGGAAUGCCUUAAAACUGCCUCACGUUUGCCACGUGGUUCUCCUGGCAUUUUGCAGUGCGGCGCUAGCAGAUGAGCGUUGUUUUGGGUGCUUGUUGUCUCCUGCAGUAAUCAAGCCUUUAAGAGAAUAAAUGGCUACCGCCUGACAGCCUCCCGUUUCAGUAAUAGUAUUUGUAACGAGGUGUUUCAUUGCUUCUGAGAGAGUUUUUACAGUUUAAAAUGGGUACAGAGGAGAGAUGUAUUAAGCGUUCAGCAUCUGACACUUUCUGAUUUCUGGUGGUACGAGCAUUGGCAGUAAUUCCAGCACUUCCUUUCAGCCGCAUGGCAUUUUAGUGCACUGUGAUUUAUGGCAGUGAUACAGAAAUAUUUCAUAUCCAAACUGCUCUAGUAUAUCAUGUUAUACAGGUAAAAAGAAUUCUGGGCAUGACAUACAUAAUAAGAAUGCUUUAUGGGCCUGUAGGCACUUUCAUCAAUGUUAACUGCUUGACAGUUGCCAGAAUGAAACUUGAGGUGAGUAUUGUGUUCUGUAAGGCUGCAGGAGCUGAGCUUUUAUCUUUAUUUCCUCGCUUUGAAAUGGGUCUGUGAUUCUCAGAUCUGAACGACUGGACGUGUGUCAUCAUUACCAGCCUCAGCCUCGGUCCAUACUGUUUCAGAAGUACUUCUCUCGAGUUCUGAUCUAUCGUGGGUAGAGCCAUAUAUCUGAAGCCAAACUUUAAUCCCAUAAAGACUUAAGAAAUGACACCACUUCAUCUUGGGCACUGUCUGCGUUAUAAUAAAGUUAAAAGCUGUAGAGUAGCAGGGCAGUGGUGAUGGCGUGCAGCUCUAAGAGACCACAGUUAAAAAAGACAGCAGUUUGAGGUCCACGAACUGUAAGUCACUGUAUAUGGCCUCCAUGAAUAAUGAAGAAAUAAGUUUAUGGGGAGUUUUGUUUGCUUUUUUUUUUUUUUUUUUUUUUUUUGUCUUUUCCUUUGUGUAACUUCAGAAAAAUUGAGUGUACCAUAGCUGCUGUCUCUUCUAUUAAAUCACUUGUAAAAUGGCUUAGACUUCUCCUGUCAUCCGGUGCACUUAUGCAAAAUGAAUGCGUCCUAUGCUCUAGAUAAGUGUCUUCCUUUGGCUGAAUAGUUUUUAAGCUUUUUAAAUGUUGUAUCCAAGCACAAUUUGAAGUGUCAUCCUUUCCACUCUAAUGGUCAAAGCAUUUAUUUAGGUGAUACUGGCAACGUGUUUUCAAAAUAUUACAGCUGGAGACCGGACCGGGUUUGCUUUGAGCCCAUUUGUUUACAGGAUAGCAUAGCUAUCUGUAAUUGCACAUCUCACUGCAGUGAGCAUUUAGCACAUAGUCACUCAUUUGAGUCUGUUCUACAUGCAGCCUGCAGUUGCUUAAAAUUCCAUAGGGGGAAAAAAAGAAAAAGAAGGAGAGAAGCUGUAGCAGUAAUGUCUAUCUGUAAGGAGGUGUGCAGUCAGUUUUCUUUUCUUUUCAAAGCAACGGAGUUAAAACUUCUUAAUGGCAUCUCAGAAUCGUGGUGGUGUAUUUUCUUACUGCUCUGAUUAUUAGAAUAAACACAGGACCAGUCGUAAAUCAGUCCCUGUGUCUGAGAACGCUGUGAUUAUUUCUAGUCCAGUCGUGCCCAGAGGUGGAGAUCAGGAGAUGCAGUUUGCAGCUCCGGGCUCAUAGGAGAAAAGAGGAGAGGAUUCCUUCCUUUAAAAUCUGAACGAGAAGUUCAGGAAGUUGUGAAGCAACGUCCUGUCUCAUGUAAAGAAUUGAUCCGAAGUUGCCAUUUGCUUCUGAAUUUUUUAGUCGUUGUUAAAUAAUACCGAAUAAUCUUUUUUGGGUUUGUUUGUUUGUUUUUUUCAUCAUAGGGG